This 220-nucleotide ribosomal RNA is filed under the name uncultured bacterium. RNAcentral's name for it is "partial 16S ribosomal RNA". It matches the Rfam family "Bacterial small subunit ribosomal RNA", at positions 326 to 539 of the family's 1533-position model. The record is from RNAcentral.
ACGCUCGACACCUACGGGCAGCAGUAGGGAAUCUUCCACAAUGGACGCAAGUCUGAUGGAGCAACGCCGCGUGAGUGAAGAAGGUUUUCGGAUCGUAAAGCUCUGUUGUUGGUGAAGAAGGAUAGAGGUAGUAACUGGCCUUUAUUUGACGGUAAUCAACCAGAAAGUCACGGCUAACUACGUGCUAGCAGCCGCGGUAAUCUGAGCGGGCUGGCAAGGC